RNAcentral lists this ribosomal RNA (252 nucleotides) under uncultured bacterium. RNAcentral describes it as "partial 16S ribosomal RNA". It matches the Rfam family "Bacterial small subunit ribosomal RNA", at positions 524 to 776 of the family's 1533-position model. The record is from RNAcentral.
UACGGAGGAUGCGAGCGUUAUCCGGAUUUAUUGGGUUUAAAGGGUGCGUAGGCGGGCUGUUAAGUCAGCGGUAAAAGCCCGGGGCUCAACCCCGGCGAGCCGUUGAAACGGGCUGUCUUGAGAUGUCGAGAGGUAUGCGGAAUGCGCAGCGUAGCGGUGAAAUGCUUAGAUAUUGCGCAGAACUCCGAUUGCGAAGGCAGCAUACCGGCGGCGAUCUGACGCUGAGGCACGAAAGCGUGGGUAUCGAACAGG